AUUGAACGCUGGCGGCAGGCCUAACACAUGCAAGUCGAGCGGAUGAAGGGAGCUUGCUCCUGGAUUCAGCGGCGGACGGGUGAGUAAUGCCUAGGAAUCUGCCUGGCAGUGGGGGAUAACGUCCGGAAACGGGCGCUAAUACCGCAUACGUCCUGAGGGAGAAAGUGGGGGAUCUUCGGACCUCACGCUAUCAGAUGAGCCUAGGUCGGAUUAGCUAGUUGGUGGGGUAAAGGCCUACCAAGGCGACGAUCCGUAACUGGUCUGAGAGGAUGAUCAGUCACACUGGAACUGAGACACGGUCCAGACUCCUACGGGAGGCAGCAGUGGGGAAUAUUGGACAAUGGGCGAAAGCCUGAUCCAGCCAUGCCGCGUGUGUGAAGAAGGUCUUCGGAUUGUAAAGCACUGUAAGUUGGGAGGAAGGGCAGUAAGUGAAUACCUUGCUGUUUUGACGUUACCAACAGAAUAAGCACCGGCUAACUUCGUG
RNAcentral lists this ribosomal RNA (484 nucleotides) under uncultured bacterium. Its description in RNAcentral is "partial 16S ribosomal RNA". It matches the Rfam family "Bacterial small subunit ribosomal RNA", at positions 30 to 507 of the family's 1533-position model. The record is from RNAcentral.